UACGGCCACAUCACGUUAAAACACCGGUUCCUGUACGAUCACCGAAGUUAAGCAACGUCGGCCAUGGUCAGUGUUGGUGACCGUCUGGGAAUACCGGAUGCUGUAAG
Molecule: non-coding RNA, 107 nt
Organism: Acanthosepion pharaonis
Lineage: Eukaryota; Metazoa; Mollusca; Cephalopoda; Sepiida; Sepiidae
Source: the annotation of a GenBank genome assembly